This 407-nucleotide ribosomal RNA is filed under the name uncultured bacterium. RNAcentral's name for it is "partial 16S ribosomal RNA". It matches the Rfam family "Bacterial small subunit ribosomal RNA", at positions 28 to 526 of the family's 1533-position model. The record is from RNAcentral.
GACGAACGCUGGCGGCGUGCCUAAUACAUGCAAGUAGAACGCAGUUGCGCACGGGUGAGUAACGCGUAGGUAACUGCCUCAUAGCGGGGGAUAACUAUUGGAAACGAUAGCUAAUACCGCAUACUGUGAGAUGGACCUGCUUUGUAUUAGCUAGUUGGUGAGGUAAAGGUUCACCAAGGCGACGAUACAUAGCCGGGCUGGGAGGGGGAUCGGCCAAACUGGGACUGGGGAACGGCCCAGAACCCUACGGGAGGCAGCAGUAGGGAAACUUCGGCAAUGGACGGAAGUCUGACCGAGCAACGGCGCGGGAGUGAAGAAGGUUUUCGGGUCGUAAAGCUCUGUUGGUAGAGGAGCGGUAACUAACCAGAAAGUGACGGCUAACUACGUGCCAGCAGCCGCGGUAAUUC